UACGAAGGGGGCUAGCGUUGUUCGGAAUCACUGGGCGUAAAGCGCACGUAGGCGGAUGUGUCAGUCAGGGGUGAAAUCCUGGAGCUCAACUCCAGAACUGCCUUUGAUACUGGAGAGCUUGAGUCCGGAAGAGGUGAGUGGAACUCCGAGUGUAGAGGUGAAAUUCGUAGAUAUUCGGAAGAACACCAGUGGCGAAGGCGGCUCACUGGUCCGGUACUGACGCUGAGGUGCGAAAGCGUGGGGAGCAAACAGG
This 253-nucleotide ribosomal RNA is filed under the name uncultured bacterium. RNAcentral's name for it is "partial 16S ribosomal RNA". It matches the Rfam family "Bacterial small subunit ribosomal RNA", at positions 524 to 776 of the family's 1533-position model. The record is from RNAcentral.